Molecule: non-coding RNA, 83 nt
Organism: Echria macrotheca
Lineage: Eukaryota; Fungi; Ascomycota; Sordariomycetes; Sordariales; Schizotheciaceae
Source: the annotation of a GenBank genome assembly
GCCCGCUUGGCUCAGUGGUAGAGCGUGUCACUAGUAAAUCUAGGGCAAUGACAAGGUCAUCAGUUCGAUUCUGAUAGUGGGCA